This is a long non-coding RNA of Gymnodraco acuticeps, 359 nucleotides long. RefSeq lists it as uncharacterized. The transcript has 4 exons. NCBI's taxonomy places the organism in Eukaryota, Metazoa, Chordata, Actinopteri, Perciformes, Bathydraconidae. The record is from RefSeq and is a predicted model, not a curated record.
UCGAUACCUUGUGCAGAAAUCAGCAGUCAGCACCAAAGUAGUUGCACAGAUUCAAGCCUUCACUCCUGAGUAUAUGCUUGGGUUAGCCACCCCUCUGACUAUCAAAGCCAACCACACUUCCCUAAAGAGCCCGAGGGAGAGAACAUCGGCUUCACAUUGAGCCCCACGUGCUGACCGGUGGCUGCUGUGUCACUGCAAUGUCCACUUCUCUUGGAUUCACCAGUCUUCUCGACGGUGGACUAAACUACUGCAACCUCUACAACCUGCUGUCAGCGAGCGGGCUCAUGACUUCAUGGAGAUGACCAAUGAAUGGGCUUGCCUGGGCUACGGACUCGCCACCUGCAAAGCCUAAAGCCCCU